GACGAACGCUGGCGGCGUGCCUAAUACAUGCAAGUAGAACGCACAGCUUAUACCGUAGCUUGCUACACCAUAGACUGUGAGUUGCGAACGGGUGAGUAACGCGUAGGUAACCUGCCUGGUAGCGGGGGAUAACUAUUGGAAACGAUAGCUAAUACCGCAUAAUAUUAAUUAUUGCAUGAUAAUUAAUUGAAAGGUGCAAUUGCACCACUACCAGAUGGACCUGCGUUGUAUUAGCUAGUAGGUGAGGUAACGGCUCACCUAGGCGACGAUACAUAGCCGACCUGAGAGGGUGAUCGGCCACACUGGGACUGAGACACGGCCCAGACUCCUACGGGAGGCAGCAGUAGGGAAUCUUCGGCAAUGGACGAAAGUCUGACCGAGCAACGCCGCGUGAGUGAAGAAGGUUUUCGGAUCGUAAAGCUCUGUUGUAAGAGAAGAACGGGUGUGAGAGUGGAAAGUUCACACUGUGACGGUAUCUUACCAGAAAGGGACGGCUAACUACGUG
Molecule: ribosomal RNA, 505 nt
Filed under: uncultured bacterium
Lineage: Bacteria
Description: partial 16S ribosomal RNA
Rfam family: Bacterial small subunit ribosomal RNA
Source: RNAcentral